Molecule: ribosomal RNA, 200 nt
Filed under: Rhodosorus marinus
Lineage: Eukaryota; Rhodophyta; Stylonematophyceae; Stylonematales; Stylonemataceae
Description: partial Bacterial large subunit ribosomal RNA
Rfam family: Bacterial large subunit ribosomal RNA
Source: RNAcentral
AGCCCCGUAUGCGAAAGUGAGAUUUCAGGACUCGAGUAGGGCGGAACACGUGUAAUUCUGUCUGAACAUAGGGGGACCACCCUCUAAGCCUAAAUACUCGUAUGCGACCGAUAGUGAACUAGUACCGUGAGGGAAAGGUGAAAAGAACCCUAAGUAAGGGAGUGAAAGAGAACCUGAAACCGUACGCUUACAAGCGGUCG